GUGUGUAUAAAUACCACUUAUCACACCCCCAAACUUAAACUGAUGCUUGUCCUCAAGCGUCAACGACACUAUACAAUAAUACAAUGCAAUGCAUGAAUGCAACUACGUGAUGAAUGAGUGAACUAUGAAGUAAUUGCCUUGCCAAUUAUAAUACCUCAGAUUGUGCUAAUGUUCUCGAAUUUCAUCUCUCUCGCUACCAAGUCAAUUACUCUUCUAUUUACAAGUGUGGAGUGCCAGUGUGUGCAAGCAUGCUCUUUUAUUGAGACAAGACAAAAACUACUACUCCCACAGAAUCCCAAUCAAGAAUCGUAAAAGUUUAAAACUAACACCCCGUCACUCAAGUCCAACUAAAAGCCAAGGUCCCAAAGAAUGUCCACACCCUUCUAUUUUAUUCACUUUUUUUUUUUUUCUUUUUAUUGGUGAUUAAUUGCUCGGUCUAAGGUCAGAGCGCUUCGCAGUGUAAAUGCGUUACGAACACCACAAGACUUCACACACCAAUUAUUCACUUUAUUCUAGUGGUUUAUUUAACCGUGCAAUGGUUGAGAUCCCUAAAGAUUUAUGCACUAGUACCCAUGUAGCGAGCGUUGGGUCAACAAUCCC
Molecule: long non-coding RNA, 600 nt
Filed under: Daucus carota (carrot)
Lineage: Eukaryota; Viridiplantae; Streptophyta; Magnoliopsida; Apiales; Apiaceae
Description: long non-coding RNA (DCAR_LNC006719)
Source: RNAcentral